AUGGAGUUUGGAUUAAAGCUCUUGUUCAUCAUUGCAAUACUUAGAGGUGCCCAGUCAGACGUGCAGCUGUUAGAGUCUGGAGGAGACGUGAAAAGGCCCGGAGAAUCCCUCCGCCUCUCCUGCCAAGCCUCCGGGUUCAGCUUCAGAAACUAUGCAAUGAACUGGGUGAGAGAAGCACCUGAAAAACGUUGGGAAUGGGUGGCGGGCAUUAGUGCUGAUUCAUCUACCAUUUACUACUUGAAUUCAGUGAAGGGCCAAUUCACCGUCUCCAGGGACAAUUCCAACAGCCAGCUGUAUUUGCAAAUGAGCGGCCUGAAAGCUGAGGACACUGCUGUGUAUUAUUGCGUGAGAUGCACAGUGUGA
Non-coding RNA from Hemicordylus capensis (graceful crag lizard), 363 nucleotides. The record is from the annotation of a RefSeq genome assembly. Lineage: Eukaryota; Metazoa; Chordata; Lepidosauria; Squamata; Cordylidae.